Molecule: long non-coding RNA, 654 nt
Organism: Amphiprion ocellaris (clown anemonefish)
Lineage: Eukaryota; Metazoa; Chordata; Actinopteri; Pomacentridae
Source: Ensembl
AAUACAGAGAGAGCUGGACGGAGAAAGUUUAUCAGGAGGUCUCUGAGCGGAUGGCCGCUCACAUAUACAGUAGACUGUAUAUAAAGAGGACAGAAGCAGUGUAGGGAGAAGCUGAAAAAGCUCAAAAGUGACUAUCGGUCCACCCAGGACCACAACGGCCGGCGUGGGUCAACCAGGAGGUGUUGGAAGAGGUUUAAUGGAAGCUAUUUACUGGCACCGCACCGGCGAGCAACAGGAGGGAGACUCAGCCGCUGCAUUGUUGGAGACGUUCGAGGACGAAUCCCUUUCCACAUGCGAAGCCUACUCCACCUCCGUCGCGGAGCCCCCGGCUGCCCUGUCUCCUCUCCACCACCAGCAGCAGCUCCUCUCCAGCACUAGCUCGGACACCGACACCAGCACGUCACAGCAACGUCUUAUCACCGGCAAGAGGAAAGGGGGCCACAGAAAAUUGGACCUUCCUAGCGUACUUGUGGAGAUGCAGGCUGAGGAGGAGUGGAGUCAUGCCCAGCAUGAUGAGAACAUCUGGUUGCUCCUCAGCGAGGCAAGAGAGAAUGAAGCUGGCCCAGAAUACUGCCUUCAACCAGUCAUUCCUGGGUGUGCUGGGGCAGCUGGGGUAGCUGGGUAGGCAGUGGGCAGCCGGCGAGUGUGAGCGAG